Long non-coding RNA from Harpegnathos saltator (Jerdon's jumping ant), 948 nucleotides. RefSeq lists it as uncharacterized. The transcript has 2 exons. The record is from RefSeq and is a predicted model, not a curated record. NCBI's taxonomy places the organism in Eukaryota, Metazoa, Arthropoda, Insecta, Hymenoptera, Formicidae.
UUUCUCUCUGAUAUUACCUAAUCGGUGGAGUCUUUUGUUCGCCUCCGUGGCGAUUGGAUGAGAUUUCUAUAACUACGAAUAUUUUUGAUCUUGGGGACUGCGUACGCGUUCUCCCUGUUUCUCUUUUAUUUCCAAAAUUGUCAUGACUGGCGUAGGAGAAGGAGUGCAAUAACUCUGCUCAGAACCAUAUAUUGAAUGAAUGAAUGAAUGAAUGAAAAACCUCGUCGGUGGUCACACGAAUUCAUCACUCCCAUUAUGUACUUGCGCCUGCUGACCCCGUCUCAUCUCGGAGAAACAUUAACUGUGCUUGACUAUAUGACAGCUUUAAUGUAAUGUAUACUCCAAUUAGCCUGAAGGAAAUGACUCGUCGAUGGACGUCAAAACCACGUCGAAAUGUCAAUUUGAAUUUUUCGACAUCGAUCCGAAGAAUCAUUGCUCACUAGGUUUGAUGCGGAAACUUGGUAACAAUACAAUAGUUAUAUAAAGGAUCUUUUCCAAUGAAUAAAUUUUGUUUUAUUGGCGGAUACGCGCGCACUCGCCCCCGCCCUCUUUCCCUCGCCUCGUCACCCCGUGUAAAUCAUAUAUCCCGUCAAAGGAAAGUCGACAUUUUCAAUGCGCGUCAGGCGCAUCGAUAUAUAACAAUACAAUAGUUAUAAAACCAAUUUAACGUUGUCAUACAAACGUUACACUUAUACUUAAUCAUCAUUUUUUUCUUUCCUCUUCCCUCUUACCAAUUGUCCGAUUCUUCAACCCUAGCGAAUAUUAACGUCCUAUUUUCAUUACUUUUGCGUAUUUCCACAUUUCUUUCUGACUCGUAUCUCCUUUCCGAGUAUUGUCGAAUCUAACGAAUUGUCAUCUCUCGCUGAACAUUCUACGAUAACUUUAGGAUACAAAUUUCUUAUGUCCUUCGAUAAGCUACAUGCUAAUAAAGCCUAAUGCAAGUUCUAA